CCCUUAGAUGUUCGGGGCCGCACGCGCGCUACACUGAAGGAAUCAGCACGUCUUUCUCCUUGUCCGAAAGGACUGGGUAACCCGCUGAACCUCCUUCGUGCUAGGGAUUGGGGCUUGUAAUUCUUCCCCAUGAACGAGGAAUUCCCAGUAAGCGCGAGUCAUAAGCUCGCGUUGAUUACGUCCCUGCCCUUUGUACACACCGCCCGUCGCUACUACCGAUUGGAUGGUUUAGUGAGAUCCUCGGAUUGGUCCCGGAGCGGCCUCUGGUCGUGCCGGAGUGCCGAAAAGAAGGUCGAACUUGAUCAUCUAGAGGAAGUAAAAGUCGUAACA
Molecule: ribosomal RNA, 330 nt
Filed under: uncultured eukaryote
Lineage: Eukaryota
Description: partial 18S ribosomal RNA
Rfam family: Eukaryotic small subunit ribosomal RNA
Source: RNAcentral